UUUUUUAUUCAAAAAUAACAAAGUUCUUGUAAGGUAAAUAAUGUAUUUAGCAUGAAGCAUGAAUUAUUUUCAUAUAAAUAUAGAAACUAGAGAAAAGGCUAUGCCUCUAAUUUUUAAGCCCUUAGGCUUAGAGAUUCUUUUGGUUUUCUUUUUUCUUUUUUUCUUUCUUUAAUUUUUUUUUUUUUUUGGAUUUUUUUUCCGAUUAUUUUGUUUUGGUUUUUUGAAGCAGGUGUUUAAGGUUUAACCUUCUUCAGGGACAAAUUCUGACUGUUGGGGAACUUAUUCUGCAAUAUAAAAAUAUCUUCAUGUUCUGGUAGGGCCUGGAUGGUGGAGCUCUGUACUGCCUUGUCUGCACUUCAGCCCCCGACCCCCUCUGAUUCUCUGUUGAAAGUGUGUCCUUUCUCUCUGUCUGUACAUGUUUACCAUGACGCAAUAAUUCGAGGGCAAACAGUAGUGAGUGUGUAUGAUAGAAUCAGGAGAACUAUGGGAGGCUGACUUGAGAAAACCAUUACCGUCAUUUGGUUCUAGGAAAAAGGCAGUGACUAAUUAUGCAAAUUCACCAGGAGAAGGGGAAACACGCUAAUGGGCCUUAUUGGAUGAGGGUGUGAGUUAGGGUACACAUGAAGGAGGAAGUGACACAGGUGUUGGAAGGACCAGCCCCAGACUUUUUCCUGUGAUGGCACCUCACAGGAGGAAGGAGGGGCCGGCCAUCCCUACCACCUCAGCACAUGAACCAACCUGGAAGUGAGCCCACCUAGAUUGUGAGAGCUGAAUUUAGACAACCGGACGAUGUCACGCAGACCAGAAACUCCUGUUAUCUUUGCCUAAAAUAAAUUAUUUGGGGAGAUCCAAAGAGAAAUCUGUAAAAGAAUGUGAUCUUCCACCCAUGGAGGGGAAUUUUAAAACACAAACAAAAACACCUGCUCCCUUGGCUCAGGAUAUGAUGCUGAGGGAGAAGGAGGGAGUUGGGGUGAGGUUGAUUUUUAGAAGUGGGACAGUUUGGGCCAAUGUGAAACCCGUCUGCCAGCACCAAGGCACUGUGAGAACCUCCAUCGACCGGGACAGUGGAAAUUAACUGGUGCAUGUCCCAAGCUUAUCUUCCUCUGUGUUGCUGAUGAGAGAACUUUAAAAAAAAACCUACACCUGUACAACAGGUGGGAUUCAUUACCUGAACCUGAAUACUUCCAGCCUAUCUGUUCAGGGUCUAGAUGGGAAUAAUGUAUUUUUGAAGUAGUCUGUUCCCUCCGUCUCCCCAAACAUCUGACACCCCAAAAGCCAUCCACAGCUGUGGAACCUCAGCUACACUAUGCUUAGUGUCAGCUGACCAAGUCGAGAAGGCCCUCACCUCAGUUCCCCACUCUCACCCCACCCCCAAGAUGAGCUUCAGACUUCCCUCCUGAAAGGCAGAGGUAAACAUUCAGGACCGUUUCUGGCAGGGGACUUCUUCCAGUUAAAACCCCCACAGUGGGCUGUCUCCCCUCAUUUCCUUUUUCUAAAGGAGCAAAGGCCUCUUUUAGAAAAUAAUAAAAUGCAAUGUGUGUGAUUUACUUUUCUGAUCUCUUUGAGAAAUAGAUAAAUAUCUUAUAAAAGUGUGUUCUUAACUCCAGAACCACUCUUUUUGCAUAAAUACCUCAUCGGGCAGCUUUCUAAGUGUUAUUUUCCUGAGUCUCCCUCAGCACCUUUUAGGAGCCACUGGGAGUCUCAUAGGGGAAACUUUAGUGAGGGUACUUUUUUCUAUUUUUCUUCUGUUUUUGGAGGCAUACACAUUAUGCAUAACCAAAACAAUGGCUCAAUUGUGUUUAACUUUGUAUCUUGAUUGUUGAGAAAAAAAAAAAGUAUCAAUGUGUAUGUGGCCAUUUGUAGUGAAUUCAUCGCGGAAUGAGGCUGUCCAUGUCUUUACCAAGCCAAGGGGCUGGAGGUACCCUCUUACUCCCUCCUCCAAGAGCAGUAGAGAAUUUAAGCACAAGCCUAUUUGUGAAAGAAUAUUUUGCUCAAGUGUAAUUCACUUUAGUCUUGGAAUUCCUUCCCAAACGUCAGGUGUUUCUUUUAGCUUCCAAACUAGCCUGUGUAUUCAUUAGUCUGACGGAUCGCCUGAGCACCAUUCAAGGGGUGUGGUAUUUUUGCUUUCAUUUCUCCUGCUAGGAGAAGUGGCAUUUCAUGUGUCAUUCCAAUAUCUCACAUACUCACAUGGGGCAGGGGGGAGGGGAAACGGGGAACUAUAGCAAUAUUUAAAGAUGCUUUGGAAAACAACCGUGAACACAUCAACGCCAUAACAUCUACCAUUACUUGCUGUUGGCCCUUGGACACAUUUAAGAGAAAGAGACGGUAGCUCUUUUUUCUUAAAUGAUAAACACAUAGACAGUUAUUUUUAUGCUACUAUAAUUGUCUUAUCUUUAUCUAGUACUGCGUGGAAAGGGUUUGCAUCAUAGAUUUUUCCCAGCCUUAUAAUAUACCAUAAGCUCCUACUUCCCUUCCCUCUCUCUAAUCAGUAUACUUUCAAGAGUUCUUUGGUAAAGCUCUCUCUGAAACGAAAAUGAAACAAACCCACAUUUAGAUGGUGGUAUGAGAAAACCAUUGCCGUGACAACGGUGGCAGGUUUCAGUCUUGGGGCUGAGUUUUUAAGAAAGAAUGUGUCAGAGGCCUUUCCCCAGAACUGAUUUUUCUUGUAGAAGCAUUUAGGGUGUCUGGCCUUUGCUGGGCAUAGCGGUUACCAUCACGGGGCAUUCCGGAGGAAGCCAUUGCACUGAAUGGCUUUGUGCCUGACGGACAGCUUCAGGCUGUGGGCUCUCUUAGAUCAAAAACCGUGCAGAUGGCUUUUGUGCCCAGUUCAGUCUUGGGACACCAGGACUGCUCAGCGCCACGUGCCACCGAUCACGUUUCAAAUACCCCACACCGCGUGUGUGGGCCCUUAGCUUCUCAUUGAAGGGCUCUCAGAGAAGGGAUCAGAGUUACGUACAGGUGACCCCCAUGGGAGGCUUUCCAUAUGGGAUUGGAUUAAAUUCAAUGUGACUUCUCUUUCCCUUUAAACUUGAUUCAGGUUGGGACUCAUUUCUUUCUGGUGGAUCACAGCUGCCCAGAUGUUGCAAUUUAUUUUUAUGUUUCUGUAGAGAAGUAUUUUUCUUUCAUCUUCAGGAUUUUUGCCACCAAAAGAACACAUUUGAACUCUGUGUCCCCUCUUGAUUGUGACUUACCAGUGUUGACAGUUAAAUCCUUAGUGUCGUAGGUCCCAGCCCUCCAAUACGAUAUCAAACACUGUUAUGCACAUAAUGCAGCACUGUGAUCUAAUUUAAAUAAUACUUUUUUAUUAUUUAUACUACUAUAUAUAAUAUACAUCAACACUUUUGCUAUAUAACCUAAGUGAUAACCCUCUUUUAGUUACCUGCCAAACUCGGGACUUUGGUUUAUAUUGCAGUUAACACAGUUACAAACUUGUAAUGGUGUCUUUUUCUUUGUAACGGAAUGUGUAAAUCAAAGUAUAUACUUUGUGUGGUGUUCCUGUUUCUGGAGUUUCAUGAGGAUUUACACACGGCAUUCAGUGUUCUGUAUAGACCCGCCUACCUUUGUGAAUCAUCUGUUGACCCCUUCUUCCUUUGAGAGAGCACCAGCCGUGGUGGUUCACUCCUUGUUUUUUCUCUCUCCUACUGGUUAUCCUUGAAUUAAGCACAGACUCAUCAGCUCGGUUGCUUUAUCAUGAAUAAUGCGUGUGACCUUGCGAUUCUUCCACAGUUCAGCAAACAAGUGCUAGCUUCACUGACCAAAAAUUAAGGAAGGAAAAUACGAUUUUUUUAAAACGAUCCAUCUUUUAACGGCCGAAACCGAUGUGUCUAUGGUGCUGUAUCUUGCUGUCUGUCGUACUUUGAAAAUCAGACCUAGGUGAAAGAUCACUUCUGGCUUACUGUGAUACGUUCACAAGUACCCUUCCUGUUCGUUUUGUUAGCGUUGAAAUCAAGACUAUUUAUUUGGGAUAUAUACAACAGUGUUUUCCGCUGUAUUUCAUUUGCAAAAGUUGAGAACAGCCUUCCCUACCUUUUGCAAAUAAUUGAUAUUCCAUAUUGGAUUCUCAAAGACUUCGAUAUGGUGAACUUAUCAAACCUAGAAAUUGUAUUUCAUCCUUUCAUGACUGUGGCCUGAGUUCCUCAACCCCUCCCCCCCUUUUUAGGUGAAACUUAGCACAAUUUCAGUUAUUUAAACAUUAAGCAUUUCUUGAGUAUGUGUGUUGAGGCCAUCAAAGCUCAUAGCUGAUUCAAUAACCAGUUUCAUGCUGUGUCAUUCACACUCACUACUUACACUGCCAUGGUGAAAAUGUGGAGGAAAAAAGUAUCCGUGUGUGUCUGGGAAGCAUUAUACACUUGUACAUUUUUUUAUACUCUGAUUCUGUAACAUUUCUGAGUUCUGUUUCUGUUUUACAGAAAAAAAAAGUGAUAAAGCAAUCAGAAGAUCAAGAGGUUUACUAUCGAUGCUUGGGGUCAUCUGACCUUUGCUGGCCAAUAUAUCUACAUGGCCAAAUUAAUUCACUAGAGUAAUAAUUUUUCAAAAGCCAAUUUUUUUUCUGUAUUUUCUGUAUGAAACUGCCAAUAUCAUGAAUAGAAAGGGAGAACCAUAAAGGAGAAAGAAAGUGACGUGCAGUUGCGUUUGUGUUACCUAGAGGAGCAGUGUGGAGGCAGGCGCGAUCAGCCCAGCUGUAGGGACCUGAUGGUGUUGCUUUGGAGGGAUCCAUACUUGCAUUUUGCAUUCUUCAUAUGUAAUCAUAUUGCCAAAGACAAAACUAUUUCAUCAUUUAUUGUAAAUAACACUUUCCCCCAGACCUACCAUAACGUUUCUGUGAUGUAUUGUCUUCCAGUUGCAAUAAAAAUUACUGAGUUGCAUCAAUUGAAGAAAAAUGCCGCAUUGUCUUGUGUGCACUGCGUCUCCAUAUGCAAAUACUGAGCAGUAAAAUCGUUUCUAUUUCUUA
This is a long non-coding RNA of Equus asinus (donkey), 4951 nucleotides long. Lineage: Eukaryota; Metazoa; Chordata; Mammalia; Perissodactyla; Equidae. The record is from Ensembl.